UACGAAGGGGGCUAGCGUUGUUCGGAUUUACUGGGCGUAAAGCGCACGUAGGCGGAUCUUUAAGUCAGGGGUGAAAUCCUGGAGCUCAACUCCAGAACUGCCUUUGAUACUGAGGAUCUUGAGUUCGGGAGAGGUGAGUGGAACUGCGAGUGUAGAGGUGAAAUUCGUAGAUAUUCGCAAGAACACCAGUGGCGAAGGCGGCUCACUGGCCCGAUACUGACGCUGAGGCACGAAAGCGUGGGGAGCAAACAGG
RNAcentral lists this ribosomal RNA (253 nucleotides) under uncultured bacterium. RNAcentral describes it as "partial 16S ribosomal RNA". It matches the Rfam family "Bacterial small subunit ribosomal RNA", at positions 524 to 776 of the family's 1533-position model. The record is from RNAcentral.